GUGUGAUGUGUGUGAGGGCUGUGUGUGUGUGAGGGGUGUGUGAGGGGUGUGUGUGGGGGCUCUCCUGGGGGCACUGAUGGCAGUGCUGAGCCAGGAGUGCAUCUGAGGCGUGUUGGGCACCUCAGGGGCCCCUCUGCAACACUGCCUGUGAUUAAAGCCCCACAAACGCCCACCAGGAGAGCCCAGGCAGCCCAAGUGUCUCCAGGGUCACCAGAUCCUGUGCUCUGA
This is a non-coding RNA of Zonotrichia leucophrys gambelii, 228 nucleotides long. RefSeq annotates it as small Cajal body-specific RNA 7. Lineage: Eukaryota; Metazoa; Chordata; Aves; Passeriformes; Passerellidae. The transcript has a single exon. The record is from RefSeq and is a predicted model, not a curated record.